Non-coding RNA from Schistocephalus solidus, 72 nucleotides. Lineage: Eukaryota; Metazoa; Platyhelminthes; Cestoda; Diphyllobothriidea; Diphyllobothriidae. The record is from Rfam.
GAGCCCGUGGCUCAAUGGUAGAGCGUUUGACUCAAAUACUAAAAUUCGCGGGUUCGAAUCCCUGUUGUGCCA